GCGAACGCUGGCGGCAGGCCUCACACAUGCACGUCGAACGGAUCCUUCGGGAUUAGUGGCGGACGGGUGAGUAACACGUGGGAACGUGCCCUUUGGUUCGGAACAACUCAGGGAAACUUGAGCUAAUACCGGAUGUGCCCUUCGGGGGAAAGAUUUAUCGCCAUUGGAGCGGCCCGCGUCUGAUUAGCUAGUUGGUGAGGUAACGGCCCACCAAGGCGACGAUCAGUAGCUGGUCUGAGAGGAUGAUCAGCCACACUGGGACUGAGACACGGCCCAGACUCCUACGGGAGGCAGCAGUGGGGAAUCUUGCGCAAUGGGCGAAAGCCUGACGCAGCCAUGCCGCGUGAAUGAUGAAGGUCUUAGGAUUGUAAAAUUCUUUCAGCGGGGACGAUAAUGACGGUACCCGCAGAAGAAGCUCCGGCUAACUUCGUG
RNAcentral lists this ribosomal RNA (432 nucleotides) under uncultured bacterium. RNAcentral describes it as "partial 16S ribosomal RNA". It matches the Rfam family "Bacterial small subunit ribosomal RNA", at positions 29 to 507 of the family's 1533-position model. The record is from RNAcentral.